RNAcentral lists this long non-coding RNA (897 nucleotides) under Felis catus (domestic cat). RNAcentral describes it as "lncRNA (ENSFCAG00000053382.1)". Lineage: Eukaryota; Metazoa; Chordata; Mammalia; Carnivora; Felidae. The record is from RNAcentral.
GCUAUUAGUCUGCCUUGGAGAAACUCAGCGUUCGUAGAGAAAUUUUAUCAGCCUGGUCACCGCAUAAGAUCAUGGAAUGGAAAAGUCUUCCGAAGACUUCUGAUGCUCUCUUAUAGAACUAAGGCUUAUUUUAUCCAGAAAUCUAAGAAGCCAAACAAUUGGGAUCUGAGGAGGAUUUUUAAAUCGUUAUCAUUUACGCUUUCCUGCUUGUAAAAGUUGUAAGGCUGAACAUGAAAAGCGUAAGAAAAACUGCCAGGACUUAAAAAAAUUGAUGAAAAGAUCUCAUCUAAUUCAUUUGAUUAAACUACUUUAACUCUGCCAGCUUGUGUCCAGGGCCGUAGCCUGCAACAGGCUGAACAUUACCAUUCGUUUGUAAUCAGUAGUUUAAACCUGUGCACUUAAGUGAUAGAAUGUUAGGGACUUUAAUUCUUAUUUACUAGGGAGGAAUUUGAAUCUCAGAGAGGUUAAGUGAUUUGCCCAAAGUCAUACAAUUCUGGAAUAUGAUCUGUUGUUAGAAUCCAGAAAAGAUAAUGGAAAGGGAAGAUUUAAGACAGGAGAUUAGAAGCCCCUGAAAAUACCUUAAUCAGGAAGCUCUCAAACCUUUCCACCAGUCCGCUGGAGCCACCAACAGGUGAGUGGACAAGAUGACUACAAUGGAACCUGCAUUCAACUUGCUAGAAGGCAUGCCCAUGGGACUUUCUUUAGCUGAAGAAAUGCAUUUAGAGGUGAUUUGUGUCACAUCAAACAGCUGCCUGACCACAGAAACCAUAGAGGCAUGUCAAGAUGCUCCAUCAGCUUGGUUUCCUAGGUGACUCAGAUGAGCAGAGACCCGGUGACAACCUGCACUGAACACACAGGAGGCACGAGGAACAAACUUGCUAUGCUACGUCACCGUUG